CUUUGACGUUAGCGGCGGACGGGUGAGUAACACGUGGGUAACCUACCUAUAAGACUGGGAUAACUUCGGGAAACCGGAGCUAAUACCGGAUAAUAUUUCGAACCGCAUGGUUCGAUAGUGAAAGAUGGUUUUGCUAUCACUUAUAGAUGGACCCGCGCCGUAUUAGCUAGUUGGUAAGGUAACGGCUUACCAAGGCGACGAUACGUAGCCGACCUGAGAGGGUGAUCGGCCACACUGGAACUGAGACACGGUCCAGACUCCUACGGGAGGCAGCAGCC
RNAcentral lists this ribosomal RNA (278 nucleotides) under uncultured Staphylococcus sp. RNAcentral describes it as "partial 16S ribosomal RNA". It matches the Rfam family "Bacterial small subunit ribosomal RNA", at positions 84 to 355 of the family's 1533-position model. Lineage: Bacteria; Bacillati; Bacillota; Bacilli; Caryophanales; Staphylococcaceae. The record is from RNAcentral.